This 675-nucleotide ribosomal RNA is filed under the name uncultured bacterium. RNAcentral's name for it is "bacterial SSU rRNA". It matches the Rfam family "Bacterial small subunit ribosomal RNA", at positions 54 to 743 of the family's 1533-position model. The record is from RNAcentral.
GAAGCAUUUCUCACGAUCCCUUCGGGGUGACGAGUUAUUGACUGAGUGGCGGACGGGUGAGUAACGCGUGGGUAACCUACCUUGUACAGGGGGACAACAGUUGGAAACGACUGCUAAUACCGCAUAAGCGCACAGCAUCGCAUGAUGCAGUGUGAAAAGUUUUUUCGGUACAAGAUGGACCCGCGUCUGAUUAGCUAGUUGGUGAGGUAACGGCCCACCAAGGCGACGAUCAGUAGCCGACCUGAGAGGGUGACCGGCCACAUUGGGACUGAGACACGGCCCAAACUCCUACGGGAGGCAGCAGUGGGGAAUAUUGCACAAUGGGCGCAAGCCUGAUGCAGCGACGCCGCGUGAGCGAAGAAGUAUUUCGGUAUGUAAAGCUCUAUCAGCAGGGAAGAUAAUGACGGUACCUGACUAAGAAGCACCGGCUAAAUACGUGCCAGCAGCCGCGGUAAUACGUAUGGUGCAAGCGUUAUCCGGAUUUACUGGGUGUAAAGGGAGCGUAGGCGGUUUUACAAGUCUGAUGUGAAAGCCCGGGGCUCAACUCCGGUAUUGCAUUGGAAACUGUAGAACUAGAGUGUCGGAGGGGUAAGUGGAAUUCCUAGUGUAGCGGUGAAAUGCGUAGAUAUUAGGAGGAACACCAGUGGCGAAGGCGGCUUACUGGACGAUUACUGA